AAGUCGUAACAAGGUUUCCGUAGGUGAACCUGCGGAAGGAUCAUUAACGAAUAACUAUGGUGUCUUGGUUGUCGCUGGCUCCUCGGAGCAUCGUGCACGCCCGCCAUUUUUAUCUAUCCACCUGUGCACCGAAUGUAGGUCUGGAUGACUCUCGCCCUCGGGCGGAUGCGAGGUUUGCGUUUGCGUGCAAGCGCUCUCCUCGAAUUUCCAGGCUCUACGUCUCUUUACACACCCCAAACGUAUGAUGCAGAAUGUAGUCAAUGGGCCUUUACAAGCCUAUAAAACACUAUACAACUUUCAGCAACGGAUCUCUUGGCUCUC
This 321-nucleotide unclassified non-coding RNA is filed under the name air metagenome. RNAcentral describes it as "partial contains small subunit ribosomal RNA, internal transcribed spacer 1, and 5.8S ribosomal RNA". The stretch from base 1 to 46 matches the Rfam family "Eukaryotic small subunit ribosomal RNA", at positions 1786 to 1831 of the family's 1831-position model. The record is from RNAcentral.